CAGGACACAGGUGAUCUGAAUCCACUGCAAUCAGCCCAGAAGACUCGGCCGAAACAAAGAAAGACAAGGUUCAUUCUGCUGCAAAGUGUUGUUGAGAUACAGUACGAGCGACUUCUCGAGAUGCUCUGUGUGGUUGUAAUACUGAAAUACUGAGCAGAGAACGCUGCGUGCACGCAAGACUUCUUCUAUCUUUGGACCCAAAAGACAGUUGACCUUUACCUUCCUGUCGGCACUGCCCUUUCUAUUGUGAGUCUAAUUCUAGCAGGUUGGCUCACUGCUCUUGAGGGCGAGCGGUGCAGUUCUGGGUAUUGUGGUCACUUGUUUUCACUGGAUGGAGGAAUUUAAGCUCCACUUUUCAUUCUGCUUAAUAACCUGUUCAAGUCCAGCUCAUAUAAUCAGUUGGUUAUGUUUCCUGUGUCAGUCGUCAUUAAUCAUGAAAUAGAAAAUGAGUUAGAGUCCCACACUUCUGUUGAUACUGUAUUUUAAUUUUUGUAUUGAAUGUUUCUGACCUAAAUAAAACAUUUGGAGUAUU
Molecule: long non-coding RNA, 532 nt
Organism: Acanthopagrus latus (yellowfin seabream)
Lineage: Eukaryota; Metazoa; Chordata; Actinopteri; Spariformes; Sparidae
Exons: 2
Source: RefSeq, a predicted model, not a curated record